This 453-nucleotide long non-coding RNA is filed under the name Mus pahari (shrew mouse). RNAcentral's name for it is "lncRNA (MGP_PahariEiJ_G0003403.1)". Lineage: Eukaryota; Metazoa; Chordata; Mammalia; Rodentia; Muridae. The record is from RNAcentral.
UCUCUUUGGAACCCCGACUCCUGUCGCUGGUCUGUAAUUUGGCUGUGCAGCCAGAGUCUCCAUGUAUUUCCGCAUCUUCUCAACCAUCCAGGACGGCAGAACAAAGGAUUUCAGCUCCUCCAACUUCAGGUCCAAGCAUCCUCUGGAGGAGACAUUGGAUGGACAUUAAAGGGAGGGUGAUGGUCUCGUCCGUGUGCCUAGUGAGGCCGAAGCAGGAUGGGGAAAGGGGCCUUCGCUAUACCUGUAGUCAUCGCUGGCAGCCAGGUCUCGGAUGUCCUCCUCAAUGAGAAGGGGCCCAGAGGCUCGGCCACCGUCAGUGUCCACACAAGCAUACCUUGGGGCCUUCUCGGCGGACCGGCUCACAGGAUUUCGGUCUCCAUCUGCUCAGAAGGAGAGACAGCAGCUGCCCUGAGCUCAACCUGGAUGUAAGUGGCUUCCUGAUGUCCCUCAAGU